RNAcentral lists this ribosomal RNA (484 nucleotides) under uncultured bacterium. Its description in RNAcentral is "bacterial SSU rRNA". It matches the Rfam family "Bacterial small subunit ribosomal RNA", at positions 32 to 524 of the family's 1533-position model. The record is from RNAcentral.
AAUCAACGCUGGCGGCGUGCCUCAGACAUGCAAGUCGAACGAUUAAAGCUCCCUUCGGGGAGUGCAUAAAGUGGCGCACGGGUGAGUAACACGUAAGUAAUCUACCCUCGGGUGGGGAAUAACAUCGGGAAACCGAUGCUAAUACCGCAUAAUGCAGCGGCACCGCAAGGUGACAGUUGUUAAAGAUUUAUUGCCUGGGGAGGAGCUUGCGGCAGAUUAGCUUGUUGGUAAGGAACGGCUUACCAAGGCUACGAUCUGUAUCCGGUCUAAGAGGACGGUCGGACACACUGACACUGAAUAACGGGUCAGACUCCUACGGGAGGCAGCAGUCGGGAAUUUUGGGCAAUGGGGGAAACCCUGACCCAGCAACGCCGCGUGAAGGAUGAAGUAUUUCGGUAUGUAAACUUCGAAAGAAUAGGAAGAAUUAAUGACGGUACUAUUUAUAAGGUCCGGCUAACUACGUGCCAGCAGCCGCCGCUGUAAU